GACGAACGCUGGCGGCGUGCUUAACACAUGCAAGUCGAACGGUGAAGCGCCUUCCUUUUUGGUGGGUGUGGAUGAGUGGCGAACGGGUGAGUAACACGUGAGUAACCUGCCCCCUUCUUCUGGAUAACCGCAUGAAAGUGUGGCUAAUACGGGAUAUUCUGGGUCUGUCGCAUGAUGGGUCUGGGAAAGAUAUUGUUUCGGUGGGGGAUGGGCUCGCGGCCUAUCAGCUUGUUGGUGGGGUGAUGGCCUACCAAGGCGGUGACGGGUAGCCGGCCUGGGAGGGUGGGCGGUACCACGGGGGGAAGGGCCCGGGCCAGGCGUCGAAGGGGGGGAGCAGGGGGGAAUAGUGCACAAGGGGGGGAAGGGUGGAGCAGGGGAGCGGGGGGGGGGAAGGGGGGCUUUGGGUGGGGAACGUCUUUAGGCAGGGAAGGAGGGCUGGCUUGUUUGUGGGGGGGUUGACGGGAGGUGGGUAAGAAGCGCCGGAAAAAUACGUG
This 494-nucleotide ribosomal RNA is filed under the name uncultured bacterium. RNAcentral's name for it is "partial 16S ribosomal RNA". The stretch from base 20 to 341 matches the Rfam family "Bacterial small subunit ribosomal RNA", at positions 47 to 358 of the family's 1533-position model. The record is from RNAcentral.